AAGACCUUGCGCUUUUGGAGCGGCCGAUGUCUGAUUAGCUAGUUGGUGGGGUAAUGGCCUACCAAAGCUUCGAUCAGUAGCUGGUCUGAGAGGACGGCCAGCCACACUGGGACUGAGACACGGCCCAGACUCCUACGGGAGGCAGCAGUGGGGAAUUUUGGACAAUGGGCGCAAGCCUGAUCCAGCCAUGCCGCGUGAGUGAAGAAGGCCUUCGGGUUGUAAAGCUCUUUCAGCCGGGAAGAAAAGGCUGCGACUAAUAAUCGCAGUUCAUGACGGUACCGGAAGAAGAAGCACCGGCUAACUACGUGCCAGUAGCCGCGGUAAUACGUGGGGUGCGAGCGUUAAUCGGAAUUACUGGGCGUAAAGGGUGCGCAGGCGGUUUUGUAAGUCAGAUGUGAAAUCCCCGGGCUUAACCUGGGAAC
RNAcentral lists this ribosomal RNA (422 nucleotides) under uncultured bacterium. Its description in RNAcentral is "bacterial SSU rRNA". It matches the Rfam family "Bacterial small subunit ribosomal RNA", at positions 207 to 621 of the family's 1533-position model. The record is from RNAcentral.